RNAcentral lists this ribosomal RNA (465 nucleotides) under Niallia circulans. RNAcentral's name for it is "bacterial SSU rRNA". It matches the Rfam family "Bacterial small subunit ribosomal RNA", at positions 947 to 1411 of the family's 1533-position model. The record is from RNAcentral. Lineage: Bacteria; Bacillati; Bacillota; Bacilli; Caryophanales; Bacillaceae.
UAAUUCGAAGCAACGCGAAGAACCUUACCAGGUCUUGACAUCCUCUGACACUCCUAGAGAUAGGACGUUCCCCUUCGGGGGACAGAGUGACAGGUGGUGCAUGGUUGUCGUCAGCUCGUGUCGUGAGAUGUUGGGUUAAGUCCCGCAACGAGCGCAACCCUUGAUCUUAGUUGCCAGCAUUAAGUUGGGCACUUUAAGGUGACUGCCGGUGACAAACCGGAGGAAGGUGGGGAUGACGUCAAAUCAUCAUGCCCCUUAUGACCUGGGCUACACACGUGCUACAAUGGAUGGUACAAAGGGCAGCAAAACCGCGAGGUCGAGCAAAUCCCAUAAAACCAUUCUCAGUUCGGAUUGUAGGCUGCAACUCGCCUACAUGAAGCUGGAAUCGCUAGUAAUCGCGGAUCAGCAUGCCGCGGUGAAUACGUUCCCGGGCCUUGUACACACCGCCCGUCACACCACGAGAGU